Molecule: non-coding RNA, 31 nt
Filed under: Rattus norvegicus (Norway rat)
Lineage: Eukaryota; Metazoa; Chordata; Mammalia; Rodentia; Muridae
Source: RNAcentral
UUCUGCUUUACGAGUAGCAUUCAGAUGCAGC